This 305-nucleotide ribosomal RNA is filed under the name uncultured bacterium. Its description in RNAcentral is "partial 16S ribosomal RNA". It matches the Rfam family "Bacterial small subunit ribosomal RNA", at positions 508 to 808 of the family's 1533-position model. The record is from RNAcentral.
ACAGCAGUCGCCGCGGUAAUACGUAGGUCCCGAGCGUUGUCCGGAUUUAUUGGGCGUAAAGGGAGCGCAGGCGGUUUAGUAAGUCUGAAGUUAAAGGCAUUGGCUCAACCAAUGUAUGCUUUGGAAACUGUUAGACUUGAGUGCAGAAGGGGAGAGUGGAAUUCCAUGUGUAGCGGUGAAAUGCGUAGAGAUGUGGAGGAACACCAGUGGCGAAGGCGACUCUCUGGUCUGUAACUGACGCUGAGGAGCGAAAGCGUGGGGAGCGAACAGGAUUAGAUACCCCCGUAGUCCCUGUCUCUUAUACA